RNA transcript from Cucurbita moschata (crookneck pumpkin), 938 nucleotides. It is a transcript of the gene named DNA polymerase epsilon subunit C, with no coding region annotated. Lineage: Eukaryota; Viridiplantae; Streptophyta; Magnoliopsida; Cucurbitales; Cucurbitaceae. The transcript is spliced from 3 exons. The record is from RefSeq and is a predicted model, not a curated record.
AGAUUUUCAUCGAUUCGAUAAAGUCCUCUGGACUAAACCAAAAUCCAUUUUCAGGCAUCGAAUUCUUGCAGUUCAUACAGAGUCCGGACAUGGCAGAAGAGGAACCCGGAGAGGCUAUCCGGCCGGAAUUUCCGAUGGGGCGAAUAAAGAAGAUAAUGAAGCUGGACAAGGACAUUGGUAAAGUGAAUUCAGAAGCGCUGUUUUUAGUCUCAUGCGCCACUGAGCUUUUCCUCGAGCUUCUCGCUGAAAAAUCUUCCGAAGUCGCCGCCGAGAAGAAACGGAAGACCGUGAAGCUUGAACACAUCCGAAUCGCCGUCAAAAGGCAUCAAUCGAUCGGUGAUUUUCUCCUCGAUUCGCUUCCUCUUCCUUCUCAGCCGUCAGAUGCUCCGGCGAAGGACGAGAAUCGCACUCGCGUUGUCGUUGAUAAAGUGGCUCCUGAAGGAACCCGCCGAAUCGAUGAUUUCUUUCGCCGGCCAGAGAAGACAGCGUCCGCGGAGACCAACGAGACAUAGGCGCUCAAUCUUCGACAGUGAGCUCUAAGGAGAUAUUGGGCCUGAAAAUGUGGAUACCACCGAAGCUGUUUCAUCUCUGACCCGAGAAUCGAGGUUGUGUCGACGAGCUAUAUUUUGUCCAGGAUUCCUUGAGAAAGCCUUCUGUUCAAAGCUAUGGCAUUGCUAUAACCUCCAUUAAUGCUAGCAUUUGAAAGACGCCGACUGCUGGUGCUUGGCCUUGGUCCAUAGAAGCUUUCUGGCUCGAUUAGAAUAUGAGUUUGCACUUUUUUCUUCUCCUGCCAGAAGAAAACCAUCAUUAAAACCAACCUACCAACAGAUGGUAAAUUAUUUUGCAGCAGAGUAGAUCAAAUUAUUGUUGAGGAUUGUGUUGAGAAUGGUUGGGAGGGAGUCCCACAUUGGCUAAUUAAGGGGAUGAUCAUGGGUUUA